This 640-nucleotide ribosomal RNA is filed under the name Micrococcus sp. Its description in RNAcentral is "bacterial SSU rRNA". It matches the Rfam family "Bacterial small subunit ribosomal RNA", at positions 70 to 723 of the family's 1533-position model. Lineage: Bacteria; Bacillati; Actinomycetota; Actinomycetes; Micrococcales; Micrococcaceae. The record is from RNAcentral.
UGAAGCCCAGCUUGCUGGGUGGAUUAGUGGCGAACGGGUGAGUAACACGUGAGUAACCUGCCCUUAACUCUGGGAUAAGCCUGGGAAACUGGGUCUAAUACCGGAUAGGAGCGCCUACCGCAUGGUGGGUGUUGGAAAGAUUUAUCGGUUUUGGAUGGACUCGCGGCCUAUCAGCUUGUUGGUGAGGUAAUGGCUCACCAAGGCGACGACGGGUAGCCGGCCUGAGAGGGUGACCGGCCACACUGGGACUGAGACACGGCCCAGACUCCUACGGGAGGCAGCAGUGGGGAAUAUUGCACAAUGGGCGCAAGCCUGAUGCAGCGACGCCGCGUGAGGGAUGACGGCCUUCGGGUUGUAAACCUCUUUCAGUAGGGAAGAAGCGAAAGUGACGGUACCUGCAGAAGAAGCACCGGCUAACUACGUGCCAGCAGCCGCGGUAAUACGUAGGGUGCGAGCGUUAUCCGGAAUUAUUGGGCGUAAAGAGCUCGUAGGCGGUUUGUCGCGUCUGUCGUGAAAGUCCGGGGCUUAACCCCGGAUCUGCGGUGGGUACGGGCAGACUAGAGUGCAGUAGGGGAGACUGGAAUUCCUGGUGUAGCGGUGGAAUGCGCAGAUAUCAGGAGGAACACCGAUGGCGAAGGCA